GUCCUCUACACAAGAAUUUGUCACAUCUCAUAUUUAGUACGGAAAAUAUACGAGCUCUAUAAUGCGUAUUACUGCAUUACAUUCAAGUACAACAAACAAAAGAAUACAGGGACACAUACUAGAUCAUGACUAGGUUACAAGAUCUCAAUAUAUUAUUGUUUCCAAGGAACAAAAGAAUACAGGCACACAUACUAGAUCAUGACUAGGUUACAAGAUCUCAAUAAAUUAUUGUUUCCAAGAGUGGAAACAAGGUCCAGAGACUUCAGGGUAUAGAAGAAACUAAAGGAUGUAACAAAACUGAAACUUCUUCAUACAUAAAACAGUCUGACCAUAUCAUCUGA
Molecule: long non-coding RNA, 341 nt
Filed under: Nicotiana benthamiana
Lineage: Eukaryota; Viridiplantae; Streptophyta; Magnoliopsida; Solanales; Solanaceae
Description: long non-coding RNA (NBEN_LNC012773)
Source: RNAcentral